This 253-nucleotide ribosomal RNA is filed under the name uncultured bacterium. RNAcentral describes it as "partial 16S ribosomal RNA". It matches the Rfam family "Bacterial small subunit ribosomal RNA", at positions 524 to 776 of the family's 1533-position model. The record is from RNAcentral.
UACAGAGGUCCCAAGCGUUGUUCGGAUUCACUGGGCGUAAAGGGUGCGUAGGUGGUCGGGUAAGUCUGAUGUGAAAUCUCCGAGCUCAACUCGGAAAUGGCAUUGGAUACUAUUCGGCUGGAGGGUUGGAGGGGGGACUGGAAUUCUCGGUGUAGCAGUGAAAUGCGUAGAUAUCGAGAGGAACACCAGUGGCGAAGGCGAGUCCCUGGACAACUCCUGACACUGAGGCACGAAAGCUAGGGGAGCAAACAGG